This 524-nucleotide ribosomal RNA is filed under the name uncultured bacterium. RNAcentral describes it as "bacterial SSU rRNA". It matches the Rfam family "Bacterial small subunit ribosomal RNA", at positions 21 to 518 of the family's 1533-position model. The record is from RNAcentral.
GGCUCAGGACGAACGCUGGCGGCGUGCCUAAUACAUGCAAGUCGAACGGUCUUUCUAUGGAAGCUUGCUUCCACUGAGAAGAUAGUGGCGAACGGGUGAGUAACACGUGGGUAACCUGCCCAUAAGAGGGGGAUAACAUCCGGAAACGGGUGCUAAUACCGCAUAGUUUUCUUGAUCGCAUGAUCGGGAAAGGAAAGACGGCCUUUGUGCUGUCGCUUAUGGAUGGACCCGCGGCGUAUUAGUUAGUUGGUGAGGUAACGGCUCACCAAGACGAUGAUACGUAGCCGACCUGAGAGGGUGAUCGGCCACAUUGGGACUGAGACACGGCCCAAACUCCUACGGGAGGCAGCAGUAGGGAAUCUUCCGCAAUGGACGAAAGUCUGACGGAGCAACGCCGCGUGAGUGAAGAAAGGUUUUCGGAUCGUAAAACUCUGUUGUCAGAGAAGAACAAGUUGGAGAGUAACUGCUCCAGCCUUGACGGUAUCUGACCAGAAAGCCACGGCUAACUACGUGCCAGCAGCCGC